RNAcentral lists this ribosomal RNA (464 nucleotides) under Vreelandella stevensii. Its description in RNAcentral is "partial 16S ribosomal RNA". It matches the Rfam family "Bacterial small subunit ribosomal RNA", at positions 338 to 795 of the family's 1533-position model. Lineage: Bacteria; Pseudomonadati; Pseudomonadota; Gammaproteobacteria; Oceanospirillales; Halomonadaceae. The record is from RNAcentral.
CCUACGGGCGGCAGCAGUGGGGAAUAUUGGACAAUGGGGGCAACCCUGAUCCAGCCAUGCCGCGUGUGUGAAGAAGGCCCUCGGGUUGUAAAGCACUUUCAGUGAGGAAGAACGCCUGGUGGUUAAUACCCAUCAGGAAAGACAUCACUCACAGAAGAAGCACCGGCUAACUCCGUGCCAGCAGCCGCGGUAAUACGGAGGGUGCGAGCGUUAUCGGAAUUACUGGGCGUAAAGCGCGCGUAGGUGGCUUGAUAAGCCGGUUGUGAAAGCCCCGGGCUCAACCUGGGAACGGCAUCCGGAACUGUCAAGCUAGAGUGCAGGAGAGGAAGGUAGAAUUCCCGGUGUAGCGGUGAAAUGCGUAGAGAUCGGGAGGAAUACCAGUGGCGAAGGCGGCCUUCUGGACUGACACUGACACUGAGGUGCGAAAGCGUGGGUAGCAAACAGGAUUAGAUACCCCUGUAGUC